Molecule: long non-coding RNA, 292 nt
Organism: Hemiscyllium ocellatum (epaulette shark)
Lineage: Eukaryota; Metazoa; Chordata; Chondrichthyes; Orectolobiformes; Hemiscylliidae
Exons: 3
Source: RefSeq, a predicted model, not a curated record
UGCCAGAGAGAGACAAAGGGCAGGGAGAUCUGGAGCCUUCAAUAAAUCCUGUAGUGAGGUAUUCCUGAUGUCCCUGACUCAGCACAAUUCCCAAUUCCUGUCUCGUCCAUCACCACAUUGAAGACAGUUGGUCAGCCAGAGAGAGAUGGAGAGGGAGAUCUGGAGCCUUCAGUAAAUCCUGCAGCCGGUACUCAGGAAGUUCCUGACUCAAUAGACUUCCCAACUGCUGUGUGUCUCAUCCAUCACCUCAUUGAAGAUGGUUGGUCAGCCAGAGAGACAAAGGGCAGGGAGA